Hydra vulgaris (swiftwater hydra) is the source of this 575-nucleotide long non-coding RNA. RefSeq lists it as uncharacterized. The record is from RefSeq and is a predicted model, not a curated record. Lineage: Eukaryota; Metazoa; Cnidaria; Hydrozoa; Anthoathecata; Hydridae.
UGUUAUACAUUGAUGCAUAACAAAAAUAAAUUGUAUAUAUAAAUAUUAAUCCAUUAAAACUAAGCAUUUAUAAAUCAUGUAUUAUUGUUUUUAUUUUUAAAUUAAUUAAUGUUCAAUAGCUUGUUGAGCACAAAUUUUGUAUUUACUAUAUACCUCAAACAUGCUAAUAUUUUUUUAGAAUAUUAUGUACAAAAAAGUCAUUGCAAUAAAUCUCAAGUUAUUAAAGUCAGUGAACAAAUAAGUACUGAUAAAUAAUGCAGCAUUAGCUAGGAUUGUUCUUAGGUCACAAAACAAUCUUACAAAUAGAGUUUCUGCUGCUGUCACUGGUUUUAGAGAGUUCCUUCGUGAAUAAAGAUAAAAAGUCAUUUAUGUUAUUUUUUAAAAGCCAAGACAUAAUAUUGUUAAUCCUCAUACCAUUGACUAAAAAACUUUAUAAAUAUUGUUGCGAUGUUAUAAUUCAAAUUGUUGUAAUUAGUAAUUUUGAUCAUUUCAUUAUUAUACUGUAAAAAAUAUUUUUUAUUUAUAACAUUUAUUUCACAUAUAUUAAAAACAUGAGGAAUAAAUAUUACACUGAG